GCUUCGAGUGGAUGAUUUGUAAAGGCCAGACGACUUGUGUGGCUGCUCGACAUCAGUGAGAGUUUUGUACAAUGCCUACCAGUAAUGGAGUUCAUUGACCCAUGAUAAGGUGAUGAGUUCUGAACUUAAUCAAUGUAAUCUAAAGGUUAGAUCUAAUUUAGGGCAUCGAUAUGAUUGAUGCAGUUUUAUUUUUAUAUCAGAUUUUAUAUACAAAAUUUUUAUAUCA
Molecule: long non-coding RNA, 226 nt
Filed under: Elaeis guineensis (African oil palm)
Lineage: Eukaryota; Viridiplantae; Streptophyta; Magnoliopsida; Arecales; Arecaceae
Description: long non-coding RNA (EGUI_LNC060995)
Source: RNAcentral